GGGCCCGUGGUUAAACGGUAUAACGUUCCCUUCGCAGGGGAAAGGCUCCGGGUUCGAUUCCCGGCGGGUCCA
This 72-nucleotide transfer RNA is filed under the name Candidatus Woesearchaeota archaeon. Its description in RNAcentral is "tRNA-Ala". It matches the Rfam family "tRNA". From Rfam's summary of the family: Transfer RNA (tRNA) molecules are approximately 80 nucleotides in length. Their secondary structure includes four short double-helical elements and three loops (D, anti-codon, and T loops). Lineage: Archaea; Nanobdellati; Candidatus Woesearchaeota. The record is from RNAcentral.